RNAcentral lists this ribosomal RNA (304 nucleotides) under Staphylococcus aureus. RNAcentral's name for it is "partial 23S ribosomal RNA". It matches the Rfam family "Bacterial large subunit ribosomal RNA", at positions 2392 to 2695 of the family's 2925-position model. Lineage: Bacteria; Bacillati; Bacillota; Bacilli; Caryophanales; Staphylococcaceae. The record is from RNAcentral.
AGCAGGUGCGAAAGCAGGUCAUAGUGAUCCGGUGGUUCUGAAUGGAAGGGCCAUCGCUCAACGGAUAAAAGGUACUCCGGGGAUAACAGGCUGAUACCGCCCAAGAGUUCAUAUCGACGGCGGUGUUUGGCACCUCGAUGUCGGCUCAUCACAUCCUGGGGCUGAAGUAGGUCCCAAGGGUAUGGCUGUUCGCCAUUUAAAGUGGUACGCGAGCUGGGUUUAGAACGUCGUGAGACAGUUCGGUCCCUAUCUGCCGUGGGCGCUGGAGAAUUGAGGGGGGCUGCUCCUAGUACGAGAGGACCGG